AAGACAUUAGUAGUAACUAACUACAUCACUUUGUCGAAGUGGUAAUGCGGGUUUAAACCCCGCAUGUCUUU
Molecule: transfer RNA, 71 nt
Filed under: Danionella mirifica
Lineage: Eukaryota; Metazoa; Chordata; Actinopteri; Cypriniformes; Danionidae
Description: tRNA-Asp
Rfam family: tRNA
About the family: Transfer RNA (tRNA) molecules are approximately 80 nucleotides in length. Their secondary structure includes four short double-helical elements and three loops (D, anti-codon, and T loops).
Source: RNAcentral